AUAUUGCCCCCCUCCUCUCAGGUGCCACGCCCGGUAGCUUGGGGUCUAUAAAAACGCGUCCUUCCAAAUAUUCCAUAAUGUAAAAUGCAGUUCCAAUCACUUUUGGAUCCGUACACAAACAGAAUACUUUAGGAACCGGAACUUGUGUGUGUUCACCCAGCGCCCGCAGAACCAGAUACUCUCUGUCGACGGCAUGAGCUGACUGGAGCAAUUUG
Molecule: unclassified non-coding RNA, 215 nt
Filed under: Hevea brasiliensis (rubber tree)
Lineage: Eukaryota; Viridiplantae; Streptophyta; Magnoliopsida; Malpighiales; Euphorbiaceae
Source: RNAcentral